GAUGAACGCUGGCGGCGUGCCUAAUACAUGCAAGUCGAGCGAACGGACGAGAAGCUUGCCUCUCUGAUGUUAGCGGCGGACGGGUGAGUAACACGUGGAUAACCUACCUAUAAGACUGGGAUAACUUCGGGAAACCGUAGCUAAUACCGGAUAAUAUUUUGAACCGCAUGGUUCAAAAGUGAAAGACGGUCUUGCUGUCACUUAUAGAUGGAUCCGCGCUGCAUUAGCUAGUUGGUAAGGUAACGGCUUACCAAGGCAACGAUGCAUAGCCGACCUGAGAGGGGGAGAGGCCACACUGGAAAUGAGACACGGGCCAGACUCCUACGGGAGGCAGAAGUAGGGAAUCUUCCGCAAUGGGCGAGAGACUGACGGAGAAAAGCCGCGUGAGUGAUGAAGGGCUUCGGAUCGUAAAAAUCUGUUAUAAGAGAAGAACAUAUAUGUAAAUAAAUGUGCACAUCUUGAGGGUACAUAAUCAGAGAGACACGGCUAAAUACGUG
This 497-nucleotide ribosomal RNA is filed under the name uncultured bacterium. RNAcentral describes it as "partial 16S ribosomal RNA". It matches the Rfam family "Bacterial small subunit ribosomal RNA", at positions 28 to 507 of the family's 1533-position model. The record is from RNAcentral.